UGAAUACGAGAUGCUACGGCGUCGAAGCAGUGUAUGUCAUACUUCCAAGAAAAGCUCGCUAUGUCAUAAACAAUUAAUGCCUGUACCAUAACCGACACAGGUGGGUAGGUAGAGUAUACUAAGGGGCGCGAGAUAACUCUCUCUAAGGAACUCGGCAAAAUGACUCCGUAACUUCGGGAGAAGGAGUACCUUAUUUAUAAGGUUGCAAUAACAAGAUCCAAGCAACUGUUUACCAAAAACACAGGUCUCCGCUAAGUCGUAAGACGAUGUAUGGGGGCUGACGCCUGCCCAGUGCCAGAAGGUUAAAGAAGUUGGUUAGCAUUCGCGAAGCUGAUGACUGAAGCCCUGGUGAACGGCGGCCGUAACUAUAACGGUCCUAAGGUAGCGAAAUUCCUUGUCGGGUAAGUUCCGACCCGCACGAAAGGCGUAAUGAUUUGGAUACUGUCUCGGAGAGGGGCUCGGUGAAAUAGACUUGUCUGUGAAGAUGCGGACUACCUGCACCAGGACAGAAAGACCCUAUGAAGCUUUACUGUAACUUGAGAUUGAAAUUGGACUUUAUUUGUGCAGUAUAGGUGGGAGGCGUUGAAGAAAUUCUUGCGGGAAUUUUGGAGCCAUCAGUGAGAUACCACCCCUAUAAUGUUAGAUUUCUAACUUUGUAUCAUUAUCUGGUCAAAGAACAGUUUCAGGCGGGCAGUUUGACUGGGGCGGUCGCCUCCCAAAUGGUAACGGAGGCGUACAAAGGUUUCCUCUGAACGGGUAGAAAUCGUAUCUAGAGUAUAAAGGCAUAAGGAAGCUUGACUGUGAGACCUACGAGUCGAGCAGGGACGAAAGUCGGUCUUAGUGAUCUGACGGUGCUGAGUGGAAAGGCCGUCACUCAACGGAUAAAAGUUACUCUAAGGAUAACAGGCUGAUCUCCCCCAAGAGUUCACAUCGACGGGGAGGUUUGGCACCUCGAUGUCGGCUCAUCGCAUCCUGGGGCGGUAGUACGUCCCAAGGGUUGGGCUGUUCGCCCAUGAAAGCGGUACGCGAGCUGGGUUCAGAACGUCGUGAGACAGUUCGGUCCAUAUCCGGUGUAGGCGUUAGAAUAUUGAGAGGAGCCUUCUUUAGUACGAGAGGACCGAGAAGGACAUACCUCUGGUGUACCAGUUAUCGUGCCAACGGUAAACGCUGGGUAGCUAUGUAUGGAGUGGAUAACCGCUGAAAGCAUCUAAGUGGGAAGCCCACCUCAAGAUAAG
RNAcentral lists this ribosomal RNA (1235 nucleotides) under metagenome. RNAcentral's name for it is "bacterial LSU rRNA". It matches the Rfam family "Bacterial large subunit ribosomal RNA", at positions 1564 to 2808 of the family's 2925-position model. The record is from RNAcentral.